AGCAGCCGCGGUAAUUCCAGCUCCAAUAGCGUAUAUUAAAGUUGUUGCAGUUAAAAAGCUCGUAGUUGAAUUUCGGGGUCAGUAGGUCGGUCGUGCCACUGGUAUGAACUGGUUUUACUGAUUCCUCCCUCUUGAAGAACUGUAAUGCCAUUAAUUUGGUGUUGCAGGGAAUCAGGACUGUUACUUUGAAAAAAUUAGAGUGUUUAAAGCAGGCUUUAGCUUGAAUACAUUAGCAUGGAAUAAUGAAAUAGGACGUUUGAUCCUAUUUUGUUGGUUUCUAGGAUUGACGUAAUGAUUAAUAGGGAUAGUUGGGGGCAUUAGUAUUCAAUUGUCAGAGGUGAAAUUCUUGGAUUUAUUGAAGACUAACUACUGCGAAAGCAUUUGCCAAGGAUGUUUUCAUUAAUCAAGAACGAAAGUUAGGGGAUCGAAGACGAUCAGAUACCGUCGUAGUCUUAACCAUAAACUAUGCCGACUAGGGAUCGGAUGAUGUUAAUUUUUUUUAAUGACUCA
This 510-nucleotide ribosomal RNA is filed under the name Glomus sp. Glo3. RNAcentral's name for it is "SSU rRNA". It matches the Rfam family "Eukaryotic small subunit ribosomal RNA", at positions 569 to 1078 of the family's 1831-position model. Lineage: Eukaryota; Fungi; Glomeromycota; Glomeromycetes; Glomerales; Glomeraceae. The record is from RNAcentral.